Chroicocephalus ridibundus (black-headed gull) is the source of this 452-nucleotide long non-coding RNA. RefSeq lists it as uncharacterized. Lineage: Eukaryota; Metazoa; Chordata; Aves; Charadriiformes; Laridae. The transcript is spliced from 3 exons. The record is from RefSeq and is a predicted model, not a curated record.
GCACGCCGGGCUGGUUAUAGAACAAAACAAUUGAUUGAAUAUUGAAGGCAAUCACACGGUUUGGCGAGGGAGUAGCACCAAAGAAGAGUUGUCCCAGAUGAGCUUGCUCCUCGUGUGAGUUAGGAACAGAAGCAGGCAUUGCCCGCUCACCCACAAGCCAGAUUUGGGUCUUGCAAAGGUCUCCAGCCCUGGUGAUGAUGUCUGAUGAUGUCUGUAUUGACCUGCGUGGUAACGAGCAGGAGCCUAGAGGAAUCUCCGAUCUACAUGAUGCACCAGCUGCAGGCUCCAGAGGGUGAAGCCCGCUGGAGGUGUCACACUCCCACCCAGGGGACCUGGGGAAGGACGAUGUGUGUGAGGACCCCCCUGUCUCGCCCUGUGCCUUGCCGAUGGCACAGCGGACGUUGCCUCCCUGCGCAGCACGCAGCGGCAAUUUUCGGCAAAGGCACGUAGGA